GAGGUGGUAGUUUAAUAAAAAUUUAAAUUUGUCAAGUUUAAGAUGCCUUCUCUGGCUCACCUCA
RNAcentral lists this transfer RNA (64 nucleotides) under Donax variegatus. RNAcentral's name for it is "tRNA-Asp". The record is from RNAcentral. Lineage: Eukaryota; Metazoa; Mollusca; Bivalvia; Cardiida; Donacidae.